This is a long non-coding RNA of Daphnia magna, 714 nucleotides long. RefSeq lists it as uncharacterized. NCBI's taxonomy places the organism in Eukaryota, Metazoa, Arthropoda, Branchiopoda, Diplostraca, Daphniidae. The record is from RefSeq and is a predicted model, not a curated record. The transcript is spliced from 2 exons.
AAUCAAACCGAACGGAUGGCUCCUGUUAAAAUUAUUGGAUUUUUUCCAAGUCCACUGAGGAUUUCCCAAUUUUCUGUAGAAUAUACAGUCAAGAUGUACGACACUUCCUGGACGAACAACCCUUUCAAUAACAACAAGGAUGAUCCCGUUGGAACAUUCGUUUUUAUCGUUGGCGGAUGAUCAUCUAUAAUAUUCCAAUUGAAAUUUGCUAAUCAAACUGAAGACGAUUAAAGAUGUUGUAAAUGUCUAACUUAGUUUUUAAUUUGCUAGACAAUUAAUCAGAAUCAAAGAAGACGAUCCUAUAUACGUGCACUUCUUAAUUAUAAUCGAAGAGAAACGGUUUACCAAUAAAUGCGGAAAGGCCAUCGGAAGGUGUCGUUGGAAGACCUAUGCAGACAAAUGUAAAUAAGUCAUUAAAGCAGAAUAUUUUAUUUUUUUUACAUGUGGGGAGCUUGUCGCUCCAUUUUCCAUGGUAGCAUUGGAUUGAGACUGCGCCCAAUAAUUUCAUUUUGCCAAGCACGGGACAUCGGGCUACGAGAGUUGUACCGUGGGGAAUAACGGCAUUUGCCUGUUAAAAAGAUUACAAUCAUGGAAAUUUAACAUGCAAGGACUGGAAUAGGCCUACUAUACGUAGGCAAUUGAUUUUUUAUCUUGCUCCUCGCUGGAUAUGGUUAAUGAAAUUCAAAUCAAUAUAUGUUGAAAUAUUUACAUUUA